UACAAGGAAAGAGUCUAAUGAG
This 22-nucleotide unclassified non-coding RNA is filed under the name Mus musculus (house mouse). RNAcentral's name for it is "oocyte_clustered_small_RNA7386". Lineage: Eukaryota; Metazoa; Chordata; Mammalia; Rodentia; Muridae. The record is from RNAcentral.